ACGGGGCUAGCUCAGUUGGUAGAGUAUCGGUCUCCAAAACCGAGCGUCGGGAGUUCGAGUCUCUCGCCCCGUGCAA
This 76-nucleotide transfer RNA is filed under the name Candidatus Azobacteroides pseudotrichonymphae genomovar. CFP2. RNAcentral describes it as "tRNA-Trp". It matches the Rfam family "tRNA". From Rfam's summary of the family: Transfer RNA (tRNA) molecules are approximately 80 nucleotides in length. Their secondary structure includes four short double-helical elements and three loops (D, anti-codon, and T loops). Lineage: Bacteria; Pseudomonadati; Bacteroidota; Bacteroidia; Bacteroidales. The record is from RNAcentral.